Molecule: ribosomal RNA, 429 nt
Filed under: Gemmatimonadota bacterium
Lineage: Bacteria; Pseudomonadati; Gemmatimonadota
Description: Gemmatimonadetes bacterium partial 16S ribosomal RNA
Rfam family: Bacterial small subunit ribosomal RNA
Source: RNAcentral
UAGGGAAUCUUCGGCAAUGGACGAAAGUCUGUCCGAGCAACGCCGCGUGAGUGAAGAAGGUUUUCGGAUCGUAAAACUCUGUUGUUAGAGAAGAACAAGGACGUUAGUAACUGAACGUCCCCUGACGGUAUCUAACCAGAAAGCCACGGCUAACUACGUGCCAGCAGCCGCGGUACUACGUAGGUGGCCAGCGUUGUCCGGAUUUAUUGUGCGUAAAGCGAGCGCAGGCGGUUUCUUAAGUCUGAUGUGAAAGCCCCCGGCUCAACCGGGGAGGGUCAUGGGAAACUGGGAGAGUUGAGUGCAGAAGAGGAGAGUGGAAUUCCAUGUGUAGCGGUGAAAUGCGUAGAUAUAUGGAGGAACAACAGUGGCGAAGGAGGCUCUCUGGUCUGUAACUGACGCUGAGGCUCGAAAGCGUGGGGAGCAAACAGG